Molecule: long non-coding RNA, 1677 nt
Organism: Gasterosteus aculeatus aculeatus (three-spined stickleback)
Lineage: Eukaryota; Metazoa; Chordata; Actinopteri; Perciformes; Gasterosteidae
Source: Ensembl
CGUUCACAGAUCGUAGUGACGGGUGAUGAUGCGCCGCACCUCCACCGGGGAGCAUCUUGACUGAAUGUAGCAAAGCUCGGUCGUGGACAUGAGCUCAGUGGUGCUUUAGAGGGAAAAGGCCCACCGAUGGCAGAGCCGAGCUCGCUCAUGCGUCGUUAUUUGAAAACGCAGGAAAUCUCCAUGUAAAUCUGGCCCCUCGGAGCAUCUCCGUCCCUGUUUGUCUUGACAGCGCCCUCCUUAAGCAGGCCAUGUAUCCAUAUUUGAAGGCGCCACCGGCUGCGUAGGUAAAGAUGGGAAUUUGUAGUGACAAGGGGAGGGCAUCAGCACAACAGAGGUACUUAAGGAAGGAGACAACCUCUUCCACUGAAGGCAAAUGAGACUUGUCAUCCGGCAGUUGGUGCAGUAAUUAUAAAGGGUGCGUUGAAUUUCCCAGGGAUUCCAGGAGAAUGGCAUAAUGGAGAAAACACUAAGAAUUUUAUAAGCCAUGCUGAGGGGGAAAUAAGACGGAAAAAUCCAACAUCCUUUUAAAGUCAGCUUUUACCAAAGGAACGUUGAAGGUGUCCGUGCAGCCGGCGUCUGGCUGCACAGCGAUGCAUGACGCUGGGUUCAUGCUUUCAUACUGCAGAGGUUUUGUUUUGACCAGAAAUGACCUCAACACGCAGGUGGAAAGACGGCGUGCUGGUUAAAAUGCUCCCGUCGGACGCGUGGGAGUGCAGAUGUUUCCCCGUGACAGUGUGAAAGGAAGAGUGUUUUCAUCGUGGUGUUGAUUGUAUAAUUUUCUAAUCAAGACAGCAGUCAUGUCAAGUGCAUUGAUCCUUUCUAAUUAAAACCCUGUUAUUAAUAUACAAUAUUUGACGUUGGAUUUAGCUUUAAACCUCCAGUGUUUAAAACCUGCAGUCGAGCCUGCGUCAACGACCUGAUGGAUUUGAAUAACUCCUCGAUGCCGUUUCACAGGCUUUUCCACCGUCCAAUUCAUCGGUAAAGAACUGGAUAUUUAAACAGGUUUAACAUCAUCUUUUAUCAGCAGUGUCAAAUAACUGAAUACAUGUAAAUGCUUUGAAGCACCCACGUAGUCGGUAUCCUGCAGCUGUACCGGUGCAUCUCUACCUCCUCCUCUGAACAUCUCCCCAGGCCAACACUGUGAACCUUAUUAGGAGCUGGUUAAAUAUGAAUUAAAGCUAAGCUAGCUGUUUACCUAGCGCUGAAAUAGACCUCCAGCCUUUUCGCGGGGGGUUUAUUUUUUUUUCCAUAGAUCGAUGUGUACUUGUGUUUGUUUCCUCUCCAGAAGCCUUCAUGUGUAUUUGAGUCUGACAGUUACAUCUGCUCGGGGAUGCUCCGCCUCCGGCAGCAUCAGUGAAACCGCCGCCGACUUCGCCUCGCAUCCCAUCGGCCACGCGCAUUGAAUUGACAGCAGCAUAUUCUGAAAUGUGGGAUAGGCCUCCAGCCCGCAGAUACUCGAGGAGAACAGGAGUGACCUUUGACCCGGGAUCUGUGUGCAGCCACCGUCCUCCUCCGAGCGGCGAGCCCUCAGCCUGUGUGGAGGAACGCAGAGCCCCCAGUCGAGUGUCCUUUCCACCUCCCGCAUGUCCAUUAAAGCCACAACAAAGGUUCUGUGCAGCUCGGCGGCAUAUCGACUCGCCCAGGUGUCAGUGGGAGGAUCAGGCUGGUUCCGGGGGC